AAUCGAUGUGUUCAUAAGCGAUAUUGUUAAUAGUUAAAUAUAAAUUAUCAUUUGCCUAUACAAAUAUUAAGUUAUUGUACUCAUAAGUGGAUGUUAGUUAAUAGCACAUUUACAGUAGACGAAAACUUGAAUAGUAUGAAAAAACUAAAAGCGUGUGCUAUGACAAUAUUUUGGAGAGUGAUGAUGAAUACUCAGCUUUUAGAAGAAUAGAUCAUAGGUUAACUGGAAUAUAUCUUUAAACAAGGGACUAAAUUCCACGGACGACUGGAUUCAUUGUGCCUAGUAGGCAGGUUUAUAUGUUUACUAUACUAUUAAUGUUUCUAUUUUCUUAAGCACAAUAGGGGGUUACUAAUUAGAGGGUUACGAAUGAGCAUUCGGUAAUGGGCUUUACCAAAUGUAAGAAGUAUGUUGAUAAAUGGACAAUUAAGUGUACUAAUGAAAUUGUAGAAUCUAGUAAAUAUCUACAAUUAUCAACUGAAGAAAAUUCAAAUUUGACGAUAAGUCUCAACAAAGUUUUGUAAAAUUGGUAUGAUGCUAACCCGUAGAGGAAAGGCAUCAGUGGUAAAAAGAAUGUUGGAACUGUAGUCUAUAAUAAAGAUUCAGGACAAUACUCUAAGUGUAGGUUGUCGAUCACCGAUAGCAAGAUAUAUUCUCACCGGAGAAACAAGUUUUUAUAUAGAACAACAUAACACCAUAAUAAUAACUGACAUUAUGGAAGUCAUUAACAAGCUGUACGAUCUGGUAAGGGAACCAGGACAGGAUGCCAAACUCAGCUUGACUAAGAGAAUGCUAGAUGACUGGAACUCGAGUGUGAUGCUAUCCUCGAGAAAAUAAGUAAAGAAAGAGCUGGAUAUUGACUUGAUGAAAGGAGAAACGACAAUCUCGAUAACGGAGGACUCUGGUUUUAGCCACUUCAAGCACAUAUGAUGCUCCAAACACGCAAAUGGCGCCCAGGUAUGAAUGGAUGAGGGUUGCCAAGGUUCUGCUACGGGAUACAAUAAACGUGUCCCAGAUAAUAUGCGUAGGACAAGCCACUGAUCGACUGACAAGUAGGCUAUCGACAGAACUUUAGGACAGAUAUGAGAAAUUAGGACGUCAAGGAGAACGAUAGGUGUAUAUGUCAGCAGAGGUAUCUACAAAGUGCAGCAACUACAUAAGACCUAAACUUUUUUGAAGACGUCAAAGUUAUAUUGAACCCAUGUAGUGGAUAUGAUGGGUUUGCUAAGUACUACUCACUGUCUAUGGCCUCAAAAAAGCCAAAAACAUAUUUUAUAUCCUAUUUAUUCGAAUAAAGCCAUAGAGUCCCAACAGGGGAAUUAGCUUAGAAGAGAAUAGUAACAUGAAUAUAGCAUUACUAAUAACUACGAUAGAUAAGACAUUAAAUAGAUUAGUUGAAAUUAAUAAUAAGUAUGACGGUUUUGAUCUGUUGUUAGUAGAUAGCGGAGAGUAUUCAAUGGAUAGAAUCAAGAAUGCCAACUUUUGACUUAAAAAAUAAGCUAGCAAUAGAAACUUUUUAUCAAGGGUUUUAGAUCAAAUUUCUAACGUGAACAAGGGCAGUAAAGAUUAAUUGUCUUACUUACUUAAAAGAUUAAUUGUUUUUGGCAUGAAUUGGGUUAAAUGCUCUCUAAGAACUUUAGGGAUGUUAAAGGAAUUAAAUUGGGAACCAUUGGUUUAUCAUCACUAGAAUGGUAGCUAUUAAUGCGAGACUAUAAUAACAAGUUGAAAAUAGAUGAAAUGAAAGCGUUCAACUUACCGCAAUCUGUUUGCACAUUUUGUCACCAUGUACUCAUAACAUAAAGAAAUGAUUGAUUUAGAUUGAAAAAAUUAAAUCACGUAUUAACAGUAGCUAUACAAACUAAAAUAAAUCUCCAGACUGCUCUGUGAACAUUAAAACCAAAUACGGAAAAUUGAACAUGAAAUGGGAUACAAUGUAGGAUGAACGCGUCAAAUUGUUUGAAAAUAGGAUCAAGAGUAGAAAAAGUAGAGCUACCACAGUUUGAGGGCAAAGUGUGAGACUUAAAUGACACCAAUUGUGCUUUCUGUCAUACUCAGAAUACGGAUAAGUGGAAUGAAGCGUCUGUUACGAAGAGAUUGGACGUUUAUUCAUAUCAAAUGGACGAAAGUGCAUUUAGCAGAGUCUACGAAGUUUUGCACUUGCUGACCAGCGAUUAUGGAUUAUGAUAUUUCUAUUAAAGAUGAUGAAGACAUUCUGUUCAAAUACAUUAAUUUGCAUGAGAAUUGGUACAAGGAUUUGAUUAAAUUGAUUAGGCUAUGGCAAGCAAACAAGAGCACGAACGGUUACUUUACAUAUAGGCCUAAGAACUAGCUCAAGAAAAGGAAAUGCGUAGAUAAAGGAAAAAUUAAAUUACCAGAAGGUAGCAAUCCAAAAUGGAUUCCUAUUCAAUUGUUCCUAUUCAAUGAAUAGGAACAUUGUUUAUCCAGUUCACGGAUGCGAAGACUAGAAUAGCUUAUUACAUUCUAUUCGGUGAUUGGAUUGAAAAAGCCGGCAAGACAAAGGUGUACAAGGGUACAAUCAAUAGAACAUCAUCGAUGUAUAUGCGUAGAAAGAGUGAUAUGCGCACAAUGUGGGAUAUGAAUUAUAAACUUGAGAAACAUAAAAUAGAUUUGGCAUACUUAGAUACACACACACACGUACACAUAGUAUUGGGUUGUCCGGAAAAUUUGUGUCGAUUUAUGGUAGGUAACGUAAUGACAAAAUCGGCACAUACUUUCCGGACAGCCUAAUAUAUAGAUUCUAAAUAUUUCAAAAAUCGCAAAGUGAAAAUAUUAAUUUAUACCUAAGUAUCGAACAAAUUCAAAAUCCUUUACUAAGUUCAAAAGAUAUAGAAUGCAUCUAAUAUUCUUUUUAAGCGCGAAGUUUUUUGAACUGUUUUAAUAUUGAUACAUCACGCAAUGCAAAGUGUCAACAAAAAAUAUCUAAAAUGUAUAAACAUAAAAAAAAUAAAAAACAAUAAAGAAAAAAGAGAUAUGCUGAAAGAUUCUAAUAUUUGUUGAAACUUUCUAAGUGAGAAUCUGCAUUUUACCUGGAUCCCUAUCUAGUUACUUAAAAUUAAAUAAGACAUUAACUCAGAAAAGAUAUCCUAUCUGUCUUCCUGUCAUAUAUAUUUAAAAAGUACAAAGCAUUCACACUAACACAUACACUCCACGGUUCCCUCAUAUGCCAUCAUUGUGUAAAAGCCUACACUAGAGAGUAUGUCUCCGACACUUCAACUCCAACGCAUAUUUUUCUAAUAUAUUAGAUAUACGUACCAUUUGCUGUAAUCGAUUGUUAAGACUAAUGAUAAUUGUAUAUAUGACUAAAGCAAAAAUACUAGUACAUACUAGUACAUAUACACAUACUAAUAAUAUAUACGAAUAUUUCAAAUUUUCUACACAAAAAUGUAAUAACUCUAUUACACAAAACAAUAUUAAUAUAAU
Molecule: long non-coding RNA, 3438 nt
Organism: Vespa crabro (European hornet)
Lineage: Eukaryota; Metazoa; Arthropoda; Insecta; Hymenoptera; Vespidae
Exons: 3
Source: RefSeq, a predicted model, not a curated record